UGAACCAGUACCGUGAGGGAAAGGUGAAAAGAACCCCGGGAGGGGAGUGAAAGAGAACCUGAAACCCUGUGUCUACAAGCUGCGGAAGAGCGACUAACGCUCGACCGUGUACUUUUUGUAGAACGGUCCGGCGAGUUGCCGUUGCUGGCAGGUUAAGUACUUAAGGUACGGAGCCGAAGGGAAACCAAGUCUUAAUAGGGCGGUAAGUCAGUAACGGCAGACCCGAAACCGGGUGACCUACCCAUGGCCAGGAUGAAGUCUGCGUAAAAGUGGAUGGAGGUCCGAACACACGUCUGUUGAAAAAGGCGGUGAUGAGCUGUGGGUAGCGGAGAAAUUCCAAUCGAACUCGGAGAUAGCUGGUUCUCCCCGAAAUAGCUUUAGGGCUAGCCUCGGUAUAGUCUAAUGGAGGUAGAGCACUGAAUCGCUGCGGGGGCGUCAAAGUCUACCAAUGCGUAUCAAACUCCGAAUGCCAUAUAGAUGUUUACCGGGAGUCAGACUGUAUGAGAUAAGUCGGACAGUCAAAAGGGAAACAGCCCAGACCAUCUGCUAAGGUCCCAAAGUGUAUGUUAAGUGGUAAAGGAUGUGGGGUUUCGAAGACAACUAGGAUGUUGGCUCAGAAGCAGCCAUUCAUUCAAAGAGUGCGUAAUAGCUCACUAGUCGAGAGGUCCUGCGCCGAAAAUGUCCGGGGCUGAAACAUAACACCGAAGCAAUGGAAUAUACCGUAAGGUAUGUUGGUAGGGGAGCAUUGAUAACACGAAGAAGCGGUACCGUAAGGAGCCGUGGAGAGUUAUCAAGAGAGAAUGCCGGAAUGAGUAGCGAGAUGAAGGUGAGAAUCCUUCAGGCCGUAUAUCCAAGGUUUCCAGGGUAAAGCUGAUCUUCCCUGGGGAAGUCGGGACCUAAGCUCAGGCUGAGAAGCGUAGGCGAUGGACAACUGGUUGAUAUUCCAGUACCUCUGGCUAUCAGAAAUGUGGGGACACGGAGAUUCAGGGAGUGCCUGUAAAGGAUUCAGGUGCAAGCAUGGUUUAUGCCGGGCAGGCAAAUCCGUCCGGGUAAGUGAACUGUGUGAUGCGGACCGAAAUAUAAGUAGGGAAGCUCCUGGGAGAGCCGUCGAGAAAAGCCGCUAUUGUGUAGUCAGAGCCCGUACCGUAAACCGACACAGGUGGAUGGGGAGAGUAUCCCAAGGCCGGCGGGAGAAGCAUUGUUAAGGAACUCGGCAAAAUGGCCCCGUAAGUUCGCGAUAAGGGGUGCCUGUAGAGAUACAGGCCGCAGAGAAUAGGCUCAAGCAACUGUUUAGCAAAAACACAGGUCUAUGCGAAACCGUAAGGUGAUGUAUAUGGGCUGACGCCUGCCCGGUGCUGGAAGGUUACGGGGAGUGCUUAGGAGUAAUCCGAAGGUACGAACUUAAGCCCCAGUAAACGGCGGCCGUAACUAUAACGGUCCUAAGGUAGCGAAAUUCCUUGUCGGGUAAGUUCCGACCCGCACGAAAGGCGUAAUGAUUUGAGCGCUGUCUCAACAAUGCACCCGGUGAAAUUGAAGUACCAGUGAAGAUGCUGGUUACCUGCGCCAAGACGGAAAGACCCCAUGGAGCUUUACUCCAUCUUGGUACUGGGAUUAGAUAUAUGAUGUACAGGAUAGGUGGGAGACUAAGAAGCAGGGACGCCAGUUUCUGCGGAGUCAAUGUUGGGAUACCACCCUUCGUGUAUCUGGUUUCUAACCUUUGCCCGUUAUCCGGGCAGGGGACAAUGCCAGGAGGGGAGUUUGACUGGGGCGGUCGCCUCCGAAAGUGUAUCGGAGGCGCUCAAAGGUUCCCUCAGAAUGGUUGGAAACCAUUCGCAGAGUGUAAAGGCAGAAGGGAGCUUGACUGCGACACCGACGGGUGGAGCAGGUACGAAAGUA
This 1896-nucleotide ribosomal RNA is filed under the name human metagenome. RNAcentral's name for it is "bacterial LSU rRNA". It matches the Rfam family "Bacterial large subunit ribosomal RNA", at positions 491 to 2407 of the family's 2925-position model. The record is from RNAcentral.